RNAcentral lists this ribosomal RNA (454 nucleotides) under uncultured bacterium. Its description in RNAcentral is "bacterial SSU rRNA". It matches the Rfam family "Bacterial small subunit ribosomal RNA", at positions 1 to 504 of the family's 1533-position model. The record is from RNAcentral.
GACUAGAGUUUGAUCCUGGCUCAGAGCGAACGCUGGCGGCAUGCUUAACACAUGCAAGUCGCACGGUCAGCAAUGGCAGUGGCGGACGGGUGAGUAACACGUAGGAAUCUAUCCCGGGGUGGGGGAUAACAGCGGGAAACUGCUGCUAAUACCGCAUGAUACCUGAGGGUCAAAGGCGCGAGUCGCCUUGGGAGGAGCCUGCGUCUGAUUAGCUAGUUGGUGGGGUAAAGGCCUACCAAGGCGACGAUCAGUAGCUGGUCUGAGAGGAUGAUCAGCCACAUUGGGACUGAGACACGGCCCAAACUCCUACGGGAGGCAGCAGUGGGGAAUAUUGGACAAUGGGGGCAACCCUGAUCCAGCAAUGCCGCGUGUGUGAAGAAGGUCUUCGGAUUGUAAAGCACUUUUGGCAGGGACGAUGAUGACGGUACCUGCAGAAUAAGCCCCGGCUAACUUC